This 81-nucleotide transfer RNA is filed under the name Rhizoctonia solani AG-8 WAC10335. It matches the Rfam family "tRNA". Rfam says of the family: Transfer RNA (tRNA) molecules are approximately 80 nucleotides in length. Lineage: Eukaryota; Fungi; Basidiomycota; Agaricomycetes; Cantharellales; Ceratobasidiaceae. The record is from Rfam by way of RNAcentral.
GGGGUAGAAGCUCAGUGGUUGAGCGAUCGAUUGCAAGUUUGCAUUAUCGAUAGGUCGUGUGUUCGAUCCACACCUAUCCCU